AAAUUACUAAGGUGUGCGCAUUGCUCUAAAUAAAGUGUUGCCGAACAAUUAAUAUUACUUUGGGAUUGGCUUCAGGUAGUAAUCAUAACAUGCCUUAUCAUUUGGUAGUUAGAAAGCUAUACAGCCGAUCCCACCUGCUUGACGCGGGUCAAUACUGAAGGGCGACUAACGGCACUACUAGUUUUUUU
RNAcentral lists this non-coding RNA (188 nucleotides) under Lactiplantibacillus brownii. Its description in RNAcentral is "6S RNA". It matches the Rfam family "6S / SsrS RNA". Rfam says of the family: E. coli 6S RNA was the first non coding RNA to be sequenced, but its function was unknown until recently. It consists of 184 nucleotides that fold into an extended hairpin structure with a large single-stranded internal bulge. Lineage: Bacteria; Bacillati; Bacillota; Bacilli; Lactobacillales; Lactobacillaceae. The record is from RNAcentral.